This 686-nucleotide unclassified non-coding RNA is filed under the name Hevea brasiliensis (rubber tree). Lineage: Eukaryota; Viridiplantae; Streptophyta; Magnoliopsida; Malpighiales; Euphorbiaceae. The record is from RNAcentral.
UAAUAAUAAUAAUAAUAAUAUAUUGAAACCUCUAUUCAUACUACAGUUUUAGGCUUUUUGGCUGGGCAGCCAUCAUUAGAUCAUAGAUUUAAUGGCUGGUGGGGAACGAGGAAGAAAAAUUAGAGAAACAUGUUCAGUGUAAAAGACGCAAUUGCUGUGUUGAUAAAUCUGUCAUUCUUUUGGCUGGCAUGGUGAGGUUCAAUGCGUGCAAGAGUUGAAACUCUGUAGCACCUGUGUUUUUUUUUUUUUUAACCAUCUUAAAUAAAUAUGGGAACUUUGUGACUUGAAGAUUUUAGAUUUCACAGCAAGAAAUAAUAAAUGAAGUUUGCUGUAGUAAAAAACUGUCUGCGUGAAUAAAAGAAAGAACUAUGUUAGCAACUAGUGGUUUGCUGUGCUAUAGACUAAUAUUGAGCAUCAUUGAUGCUGACGCUUUGUAUUGUCUGAAUCUCGUUAUGCAUAUAUAUUGUGUUAUUUAGAUCAAUCUCAGUAUAGCUUAAGACCAACUUAAUGAAUUAUUAUUAAUUGCAACCAUUAGGAAGUGUCAGGUUGAGGGUAAGGAGGGCUGCAGUUUCUAUUUUCUAGCAAUUUUUUUUGUCGAUGUAAUGUCAAUUGAGUUCGUUGAUUGAGGUUGGUUUGAUUCUUUUGAGUGUAGGGAAGCUGGGGAUGACUCAGUAAAGUAUAUUUGU